RNAcentral lists this ribosomal RNA (381 nucleotides) under uncultured bacterium. Its description in RNAcentral is "partial 16S ribosomal RNA". It matches the Rfam family "Bacterial small subunit ribosomal RNA", at positions 355 to 727 of the family's 1533-position model. The record is from RNAcentral.
UGGGGAAUAUUGCACAAUGGGCGCAAGCCUGAUGCAGCCAUGCCGCGUGUGUGAAGAAGGCCUUCGGGUUGUAAAGCACUUUCAGCGAGGAGGAAGGGUUCAGUGUUAAUAGCACUGUUCAUUGACGUUACUCGCAGAAGAAGCACCGGCUAACUCCGUGCCAGCAGCCGCGGUAAUACGGAGGGUGCAAGCGUUAAUCGGAAUUACUGGGCGUAAAGCGCACGCAGGCGGUUUGUUAAGUCAGAUGUGAAAUCCCCGCGCUUAACGUGGGAACUGCAUUUGAAACUGGCAAGCUAGAGUCUUGUAGAGGGGGGUAGAAUUCCCAGGUGUAGCGGUGAAAUGCGUAGAGAUCUGGAGGAAUACCGGUGGCGAAGGCGGCCC